Molecule: long non-coding RNA, 806 nt
Filed under: Equus caballus (horse)
Lineage: Eukaryota; Metazoa; Chordata; Mammalia; Perissodactyla; Equidae
Description: lncRNA (ENSECAG00000038660.3)
Source: RNAcentral
ACCACUUGACAAACCCUUCAUCACUACUCAUCCAAAACGGAUGUCCAGGUACACUGCCUGAAAAUCUGCCUAGUUGGAGGAUUUUGCCUCAACUCUGCCUCUCAGGAUCACUUCUGAAUAAGACUGUAUUUAGCAGCAAUUUUUGGUGUUUACUAACAUAUUGAGACAACAUCACUAUGAACCAUUACAUUGGAACCACUGUGAGAUAGAUAGAUGAGUCCACUGAGGCACAGAGAAGUUGAGUAACUUGUUGAAGAACCACAAUCCUACCCAAAUCAAUGAAGAAGGAUAUUGAGGAUAUUGAGAUACCUGGUGAAAGAAUGAGACCAUGCUGGAUUCUAGGAUUGAAUAUCUCCAAAACUCAUUCUCUGCAUGACUUCUUCUGCAAUAUUCUGAAUGUUGAACAAGGAGAGGAGAUUGUGGAAAAGUACUGAACUCUGUGGGGAACUGGAGGAAGAUAAGAAUUAUUUUAACAAGAUUUCGCUUUCUCAGGACUGAAAAGCCUGCCAGGAGGCAAGAGAGGAGACAACGAGAUAAAAGUCUGGUCACUUCUUCCCAAGGAUGGCUUCACAAAGGUGGUGGCUGAAGCCCCCUUCAGGCCAGUUCAGGAGCUACUUCACUCUGCUUUACUCAUAAAUAAUUUCAACUCCCUGAAGCUCCUUAAAGUAAAGGGACAAAGACAGCCAACGCCCUUAAUAGAGCCAGCUGUGUGGUCAACGACACUAUAUCAAAUGCAAGUUGAUCCUGAGAAAUCGUCUGUGGGUAGCUCUUUCUCCCCAUCUCCUCAAUUAAAAAAUUGCUACUGC